ACGUUAUGGUGGGCGACUCUAAGGAGACUGCCGGUCGACAGACCGGAGGAAGGUGGGGAUGACGUCAAGUCAUCAUGGCCCUUACGGCCUGGGCUACACACGUGCUACAAUGGUCGGUACAAAGGGUUGCCAAGCCGCGAGGUGGAGCUAAUCCCAUAAAACCGAUCGUAGUCCGGAUCGCAGUCUGCAACUCGACUGCGUGAAGUCGGAAUCGCUAGUAAUCGUGAAUCAGAAUGUCACGGUGAAUACGUUCCCGGGCCUU
Molecule: ribosomal RNA, 262 nt
Filed under: uncultured Pseudomonas sp.
Lineage: Bacteria; Pseudomonadati; Pseudomonadota; Gammaproteobacteria; Pseudomonadales; Pseudomonadaceae
Description: partial 16S ribosomal RNA
Rfam family: Bacterial small subunit ribosomal RNA
Source: RNAcentral